GACGAGCUUAUUCCAAAUCGAGACACCAAUGUGACCAGUGCUAAGAAGUUCCAAAAGAGGAAGGACGAUCCAUAAAGAAAAAUAAGCAUACAAAUAAAAGUAACUGAGAAAGGCCCAAAAGUUUGAACUCUACGCUGAGAAUCGCCUUCUUCAUCACGAUUCAUUCUACACUUCAUGAUCUUGAGUCUGUGUCAAUAUUAUUUCGUACGAUCAAGCCGAUGAGAAAAAUAUUAAUAAUUUACAUAAUAUCUAAAACUGCAUAAAAAGCGAUGGAUAUGCAGUUACCUGUUACUUAUGGAGGAAUAAAAAUAGAGAAUAUCUUAAUGAUAGAUCAAGAGAACGUCUUGAUACGAGAACGUCUUAAAUUGAGCUACCUGGACAUUGCUUUCGAUGUGAUGCUUACAUUAUUAGCAACGUUCAUAUUCACAUAUAUCGAGUAAAGCCGAACAAGACAGUCAAACAAGUAUUAAACCGAUAUAAUGAAGGCUACUAUGAACAUGGAUUCUUAACAACUCGCUACAGCACGAGGAUUAAGUAAAAGUAAAUAUACGCAUAUAUACAAAUAUAUCUAAAACCAUCUAUAAAUCAUUAUGUUUUAUUAUAUGUACAAUAACCUGUAUAUGUUUAUAUACGUAUAUUUGUAUUUGUGUCUUUAUGACCUAUCUCUGUUCAACUUUAUAUUUCUAAAUAUGUGAAUCAAAUUAAAAUUAACCCUAUAUAUGUAUAGAACAUAUGUAGGGUAAUUUUAAUUUAUUCAAAAUGUUUAGUAACAUCUAAACGAACAGUCUCUAUAUAUUUGGAAUAUAUAGGGUUAAUAAAUAUGUGUGUGUGUGUGUGUGUUUGUCUGUGUAUGUUUGUACAUAUAUAUAAAUUUAAAUAGAAUUAAAAUUAACCUUUCACAUUCGGUUUCCUCUCGGAUGUUAGCUUCAUUUGAUUUAUUCGUAUUUGAUUUAUAUAAAUUUGUAGAAUUUGAGGAACAUAUUCUUUUGCAAAAAAAUUAAAAUUUUAUUCCUUAUAAUUUUCUAAUAUUAUAAAUUUCACAGCAAUUUUUUUAUAGCAUUAUAAUUGAUAUCAUUAUUUAUGAGAUUUCAUUGAUUUUCUGGAAAACCAUCUGAGGGACCAUCCGGGUGCGAAAGGUUAAAAAAAUAAUUAAAAAAUGAAGUAAAAUAAAAAAAAAAUUGAAAAAGAAGAAAAAAGAAUUAAUAUUAAAUAAAAGAAGACAAAAAAAAAUUAAAAGAUAAAUGAGAAUCAAAAAAAUAUUAAAAUUAAAAGAAAGAAGAAAGCAUUAAAAAAGAUUAAAAUUUGAAAAAAGGAAAAUAAAAAAAUUAAAAAAAAUAUUUAAUUAAAAAAAAAACAUUUAAAAAAAAAACAAACAAAUAAAUAUGUAUCGAGAAAUUGUACCGAUCAUUUUCAUAUUUAUAACUCUUUGAUACCUGUCUUUAAUUCGUGUGAAUCUAUGUGUUAUCUAUAUGUAUAUUUUAAUUUUUUAAAAAUAUUCGAAUUUGUUUAAUUCGAUAUCGAUUUCAUUAUUUUAAAAAUCUUAAAUGAAACUGCUAUUUAAACUGAUACUUCAAUUUCUCGAAUCAGUUUUAUAAUACAAAAAUAUAUAUUCGAGUAAAAUUAUUAAAAAUUCGACUAAAAUUUCGAGUAAAAUUUAUUAAAUAAUAUAUUAAAAUAUAUUUGUUCUUAUUAUUACGUUUAAUUAAGUAUAAUAAAUUAGAUAUAACUUAAUUUUUAGAUAAUAUAAUAAUUAUAUUAGUAAUGUUGUUCAUUCGUUAAACAAAGUGCCUUUAAUUAUAUUAAUGUAAUAAUUCGAGUCAAUUUCCAUAAAAAAAUGAUAUUAAUUAACGACAUUACUAAUUAAUUUAUUCGGUUGGGGAAAAACAUUUUUUCGUAUUUUAAUGUAAAAGUCAAUUUUUUCCAAUUGUUUGCAUUAGAGAUUAUAAUGAAUAGUUUGAAACAGCGUCAACGAUUGAUCCUCCUUCCUUCGAUCAUGAUCAUUUUCAUACAUUAUCGUCCAUGAUGAGCCGUUUCAAGAAUGCUUUAAUUUUAUUACAUUUUAGUAACGAUUCCUAGAUAGAAAUUCGUUCCAUUAAAUUUUCCAUUAUUUAAUCAUGCGACACACAAACAUUGGCUCUUUUUUCGUAUACAGCCUUCUUCAAACGGUUUAAAACUGUUUCGUGAUUGAUGGUUAGUUCCUUGGCGAUGUCAUUUGGAUCACUUGCAUCAUAACUUCCAAAUUGAAAACGUUUGAUGUAGCUUUGUGCGACGUCCAUUGAUAACGCAUCGAUCAAUAAAUAUCACAAAUUUUUUUGUUAGUUGGAGUCGCAUUCUUACCAUUCUUGUAAUACAAUUAAAAAGUGAAUCUUCUUUAUUCCUUUUCAAUUUUAAGACGUAAUAAUUUUUAAAUAAAUAAACGAAUAUAUUUAUGACCAUUCUACAAAUACUCAAUGAUAUGUCUACUUACGAACGCGAGGCAUUAUAGCCAAAGUGAUUGUUUAAUAUUAUUCAAAUUAUAUCACAGUAAUGUCAUCGGCUGGUAAAAUACGAAGAAACAUUUUGCCCGAAUUAACUCAAUAUAAAUAAAGAAUUAAUUUAUAAAUUGAAACGAUAACUAAGUCUCAACCAUUUUUGUAAAUUGUAAUGUAAUGUAACUACGAUGGUUGGACUUGUACUGACCUUAUUGUUAAUUUUAUUACUGUUCUUUGUGUGACUAUUACUUAUGUAUAUAAUUUGAGAUUAGAGAAUAGUAUGAUUCAAUAUCGAUAAUGUCACCUAUCGAAAAAUUAGAAGAUUUAGAAGGUAACUGUAACACCAAUUCGGUAGGAGAACCAGAGGACCGGAUUUUUUUUCACCUCUUUGGUUCCAAAUCUAUUCAAAAAGUGUUAUUAAGCGAAAAAGUAAGAGAAGCUAUACGCGAAAGCUGUGACGUACCGAAAGAAUACAAAAAUUCUGCAUCUAAGACAAUCGAUUGUCUAAAAAGUAGCACAAAAUCUUUCGGUAGUAGUUGGAGUAUCUACGACUACAAAAAUUAUGGGUGUUACUGGAUGUUCGACAAAAUUGGUUUUAUAAAAACAGCGAGUCUAAGCAACACUGAAAUUACUCAUUAUUCUAAAAUUCUUCAAGGGACAUCAUCCGAUUUACGAAGAAAAUCGGAAGGACUUGUCGCAACCAAAGGUUCAUCAGCUGCUCGUAUAGAUUCUUCUCAGAAAAGUUCAAAUGAUCAUAUUGGACAAUCAAGAAUCAAACGACCAGAAUUUCUUUAGCUAUAAGUUUCCGAAUCUGAUUAACAAGUGUUAUCAAGCGAAGAAGUAAAGGAAGCUAUAUGCGAAAGCAGUGACGUACCGAAAGAAUACAAAAAUUGUGCAUUUAAGACAGUCGAUUGUCUAAAAAGUAGCACAAAAUCGUUCGGUAAUAGUUGAAGCAUCUACGACUACAAAAAUUAUGGGUGUUACUGGAGAUUCGACAAAAUUGGUUUUAUAAAAACAGCGAGUCUAGCCAACAUUGGAAUUAUACAUUAUUGUAAAAUCCUCCAAGGAACACCAUUCAAUUUCAAUUGGCUGAAAGAAAGUCCAGUCCUCUGGUUCUUCCACCAUUCGAUCGGAGUCAGUUAUCUUCUAAAUCUUCUAACUGGUCGGCAAGUAACGUUAUUGAUAUUUAAUCAUACUAUCCUCUAAUUUUAAAUUAUAUACAUAAAUAAUAGCCACACAAAGAAACAGUAACAAAAUUAACAAUAGAGAACUGUACAGAACCAAUCAUCGCAGUUACAUAAUAUUGUAAUUUACAAAAAUGUUUGAAACUUAGUUCUCUGUGCAUUUUAUGUGUUAAUUUUUUAUUCAUAUUGAAUUAAUUUGGGUGAAAUGUUUCUUCGUAUUUUACCGGCCGAUGACAUUCCUUUGAUAUAAAUUUAAUAAUAUUAAACAAUCAAAUUGGCAAUAAUUCCACGCGUUCGUAAGAUGACUUAUCAUUCAGUAUUUGUAGAAAGAUCAUGAAUAUAUUCGUUUAUUUACAUAAAAGUUAUUACAUCGUAAAAAUGGGAGAGUAUAAAGAAAAUAUAUUUUCAAAUUUUAUUACAAGGCAGAUAAGAAUGCGACACCAGCUAUUAAAAAAAUUUGUGAUAUUUAUUGAUCGAUGCGUUAUCAAUGUACGUCGCAUAAAGCUACAUCAAACGUUUUCUAUUUGAAAGUUAUGAUGUACGUGAUGCAAAUGACGUCUACAAGGAACUAAACAUCGAUCAUAAAACAGUUUUAAACCGUUUGAAGAAGGCUGUAUACAAAAAAAGAGCCAAUGUUUGUGUGUCGCAUGAUUAAAUAAUGGAAAAUUUAAUGGAACGAAUUUCUAUCUGGGAAUCGUUACUAAAACAUGCACGAAAUCGAAGCAUUCUUGAAACGACUCAUCAUGGGCGAUAAUGUAUGAAAAAGAUCAUGAUCGAAGAAAGCAGAAUCAAUCGUUGUUGCUGAUUCGAAGUAUUGAUUAUAAUCUCUGUUGUAAAGAAUUGGAAAAGACUUACUUUUGCAUUAAAAUACGAAGAAACGGUUUUCCCCAACUUAAUAUAUUAAUUAGUAAUGUCAUUAAAUAAUAUCAUUUCUUUAUGGAAAUUGACUCGAGUUAUUACAAUAAUAUAAUUAAAGACAUCUUGUUUAACGAAUGAAUAACAUUGCUGAUAUGAUUAUUACAUUAUUUAAAAGUUAGGUUAUAUCUAAUUUAUUAUAUCUAAUUAAAUAUCAUAAUAAUAAUAAAUAUAUUUCAAUAUA
Molecule: RNA transcript, 4754 nt
Organism: Vespula vulgaris
Lineage: Eukaryota; Metazoa; Arthropoda; Insecta; Hymenoptera; Vespidae
Exons: 10
Source: RefSeq, a predicted model, not a curated record